UCUCCGUAGGUGAACCCGCGGAGGGAUCAUUACAAGUGACCCCGGUCUUACCACCGGGAUGUUCAUAACCCUUUGUUGUCCGACUCUGUUGCCUCCGGGGCGACCCUGCCUUCGGGCGGGGGCUCCGGGUGGACACUUCAAACUCUUGCGUAACUUUGCAGUCUGAGUAAACUUAAUUAAUAAAUUAAAACUUUUAACAACGGAUCUCUUGGUUCUG
This 217-nucleotide unclassified non-coding RNA is filed under the name plant metagenome. RNAcentral's name for it is "partial contains small subunit ribosomal RNA, internal transcribed spacer 1, and 5.8S ribosomal RNA". The record is from RNAcentral.